UCAGCAAUUUCUGAUAUGACAUCGGACACAUUUAAAAACCAUAGAGAAACACUAGAGCCAUUCACGAAUUUCUUCCACUUAUCUACAAAAACACAGCAUCACUUUAACAUCAAAUAAUAAUUUCUGUUGACGCUGCAACUAUAAUUAUUAACUACCUUGGAAAUAUCACAAUAUUCCACCAAAUUUUCUAGAAAACCCCCUCUUUUCAACCAACUCUGGGGUGAUCAGUCCCUAUAGGCAAAUCUGGGCUACGUUUCUAGAAAUAUCACAUAACAACUGGAUGCAUUCACAACACUGCACCAAUACUUCUUCAUAUACACUAUAUCUCAACACAUGAAUAAUC
This 343-nucleotide long non-coding RNA is filed under the name Mytilus galloprovincialis (Mediterranean mussel). Lineage: Eukaryota; Metazoa; Mollusca; Bivalvia; Mytilida; Mytilidae. The record is from RNAcentral.